GUCUCCCACAGCAACAUGUUUGUAAGGAGCAUGAGGUUUUGUCUGGCCAGCAACUCAGUAACCAGAAGAGUAACUCCAGUCUGGAUCAUGACAACCAAGAGCUUCGACUGAUUACAGAUGAACAGGAAGAACUCUGCACCAGCCUGGACCAGGAGGACCUGGAGCCUCCAAUGAUUACAGAGGAACAGGAGGAAUUCUGUACUAAUCAGGAGGGAGAACAGCUUGUUGUGAAGCAGGAGACUGAUACCUUUAUGGUGACUGUUACUUAUGAGGAAAGUGACCACAGUGAUCCAGAACAAACAGUGACCAGCUCCUCUCUUACAAUUCCUCUGUAGCUGAGAGUCCAGAUCAGGAAGGAAUCAAGCAGGCAGGCCCACAAUUAACUAGAAAUGCAGUGCUAAGGUCAACAGAGAGACGUGACAGAAACAGCAGUCACAGUAAGAAUGUAGACAGCUCUCCCAUGUCAGAGAGUCACUGUGAUACUGAUACAGGCAAAAAGUCAGUACCAUGUGAUAUCUGUGGAAAAACCUUUAAAGGUAAGUCCAAAUUGAAGGAACAUCACAGAAUUCACACAGGUGAGAAGCCAUUUCAUUGUGAAACAUGUGGAAAAGUGUUCAGUCAAAGUUGUAAAUUGAAAGUCCACAUGAGAACUCACACAGGUGAGAAGCCGUACCUUUGUAACACCUGUGGAAAGAGAUUUAGUGAUGUUUCAGCAUUUAAAAAGCAUUCAGCAACUCACACAGGUGAGAAGCUGUACUCUUGUACAACCUGUGGGAAAAGUUUCAGUCAAAGUGGUAGUUUGAAAGUCCACAUGAGAACUCACACAGGAGAGAGACCUUACCCUUGUAACAUCUGUUUCAGAAGAUAUAGUGGAAUAUAAUGGCUGAAAAAGCACAUGUCAAUUCACACAGGUGAUAAACCUUUUGUUUGUAACACCUGGAAAAGCGUUUUCUGACACAUCAGUGUUUAAAAGGCAUGCAGCAAUCCACAAAGGAGAGAAGCCAUUUUCUAGUGAAAUAUGUGGAAACAGUUUUAGUCGUGGGGAUCAUUUAUUACUCCACAUGAGAAUCCACACAGGUGACAAACCAUACAUUUGUAACACCUGUGGAAAAAUAAAUUUAGUGACCUUCCAGCAUUUAAAAGUCACACAACAAAACUGUGUUGAAUCUGGAAGUUUAUGUCUUUUCUGUGAUUCAGGAACAGCUCAGCUCCUCACUGAAACUCUCCUUUAGCUGAAAACCACAACCAUCAUGAAUAUUGGUUGGACACUGAUUAGUUGUUUUAGCAGCAACUUGUAAAACAAGAAAAGCACUCAGAGAGUGCAGACCUCCGCCAAGGAUAGAGAGGAAAACAGGAAACCCAUGCAGUAAAGGAUCAUGAGCUGGAAUUGAACCUGCAUCUCCGACACAGUUCUGUUUAUGAAUCACCUUCUUAAUCAGUUGAGCUAUCUGGACACCUUGUUCCAGUUUGUUGGACGACAUACUAACCUAUGAUGUUUUUGUCAUAUUUUGAACCACAUACUAAACCACAUACUAAAAAAUUCAAAGUGAUCCAGAAUCCAGGAUCCUUUCCGGAUUGCCACCAAAAUUAAAUCAGCUCUUCCUCUUACCAUAGUCGACAUCCCCUCAAAAUUUCAUCUGAAUCUGCGAAGGCGUCUUUGAGUUAUCUUGCUAACAGACGGACAGACAGACACACAAACGCUGGGUAUCACAUAACCUCCUUGGCGGAGGUAAUUAUGUUCAAUCAACAAAAGUAAUUUAUUUUCAACAAACAUGAGUACAUUGUGUUGAUUCAAAGAAACUGAAUUUUUCUUCAAUAAAGGGAAUUCAAAUCUUUCAUCAUUUUGCAUAAUUUGCUCAUUUUAUUGUGGCGUUAUUUGUUGGUUUAUUAUUUCAGUGUCAAAUGUUUUUGGAAUUCCAGUAAAAUGUGACAUUAAAUCGAUUAACAAAAGGAAUGUAAAUAUUUAAACUGAUUUUAAAUAUAAACAAAAUGAAACAGUCAGCAAUCAGUUAUUUCUGUUUUAUUUCUAAUGUUUUUAGUUUUUCUCUUUUUUUCACAUUAUACAUUCUUGUCCCCAUCGACAAUGAUGACAGUUUUGUUGAAAGCCUUUAUUCCAGAUCUUGGAUAAACACCAGUUUUAACACUUUACAUGUUAAAAUGUCAAAUGUUUUCUACCCAGAAGGUCUGUGGAUCCCAGUGUUUUAACCUGAUGACACCAAUUUGUUUCAUUAUCAAACUGUCUUGUGUCUCCGUCUGUCAUUUCAACCAGUGAUGUUCUUAAGAAGAAUGACAUUUUGUACCAUGAACUUUUCCAGAGUUAUUGUUCUGAGCCGAUUUAUUAAAAUCCAAACAUGCUCA
This is a long non-coding RNA of Acanthochromis polyacanthus (spiny chromis), 2358 nucleotides long. RefSeq lists it as uncharacterized. The record is from RefSeq and is a predicted model, not a curated record. The transcript has 2 exons. NCBI's taxonomy places the organism in Eukaryota, Metazoa, Chordata, Actinopteri, Pomacentridae.